GGACUACCGGGGUAUCUAAUCCUGUUUGCUCCCCACGCUUUCGCGCCUCAGCGUCAGUAUCGGACCAGUUGGCCGCCUUCGCCACUGGUGUUCUUGCGAAUAUCUACGAAUUUCACCUCUACACUCGCAGUUCCACCAACCUCUUCCGAACUCAAGACUCCCAGUAUCGAAGGCAAUUCCAGGGUUGAGCCCUGGGCUUUCACCUCCGACUUAAAAGUCCGCCUACGCGCCCUUUACGCCCAGUGAUUCCGAGCAACGCUAGCCCCCUUCGUAUUACCGCGGCUGCUGGCAC
RNAcentral lists this ribosomal RNA (292 nucleotides) under uncultured bacterium. RNAcentral's name for it is "partial 16S ribosomal RNA". The record is from RNAcentral.